GGAAAUUUUUAUAUAAGAAAAAAAUUUCCAGACUUUUCUCAUUUCUCCCAACGGUUUCCUCACUUCUCCAAACUCUCCCAAACUUCUCCCAAGGUUUCGAAAGUUCUCCCCAAGGGCGUUUGAUUGAGCACUCCGGCCAUUCCUCCCCAAGGUAAUAAUCUCCCCUUCUUGAUCUUCAUCUUCAUGUUCUACUUCUUCAUCUUCUCCUUAUCUUAUCUUAUUAUAUUUUAUAUUAUCUUUUUCUAUUCUUCUACAUUUUCUAUUUUGUUCUUCAUUUGAUGUAUGUUAUUUGAUUAAAUUAGGGGGUUAUGGUUGUAUGACAUUGGGGUUCAUGUAUUUGUGGGUUUAUGACAUUUAGGGUUUAUGUAUUUAUUAUUUGGGGGCUUAUAUAUGUAUUUGAGGGUUUGAUUUUAUGGUUAGAUGUUAGGUUGAUUUAUUGUAGUUAGAUUUUAGGGUUUGAUUUAGGUUUGAUUUAUUGAUGUUAGGUUUAUUAUUUGUUGGUUUUUAUUUAGUUUAUUUACUGAUGUUAUUUAGGGGGGUUUAUUUACUGUUUUUAGUUUAUUUUUAUUAUUUACUGAUUUUAGUUAAUUUAGAUUAGGGUUUUACUGUUUUUAUAAAUUAUAUUAAUUUUGUCUUUUGAUUUGUGAUUUGGGGGUUUAUGAUUUUAAAUCAUACUUUCCAAUGAUUUGUCUUUUGAUUUUAAAAAAAAAAUCAUGCAUUGUGAAUUUGUGAUGGGAAUUUGUGAUGUGGGGUUAGUAAUUGUGAUUUACUCUUUUUAGGGGUUUUGAUAUUGGGGGUUUUAUUUAGGGGUUUUGAUAUUGGUGCUUUGAUUUAGUUUUGUUUAUUUUAGUUAAUUAUAGUUAGUUAAUUAAUUGACUUAUGUACUAUUUUGAUUAUAUUUGAUUUAGUUAGUUAGUUAAUUAUAUUUGAUUUAGUUAAUUGACUUUAUUUGUAAUAUAUGUACUGUUUUGAUUUUAAUUGUGAUUUUAAUAUAUUUAGUUGUGAUUUUAGGGUGUCGUACUCUAUGUGGAAAGAUUUUUUUUUUUGCAAUCUAUGUAAUGGCUAGAAUCCGACUUAAAUGAAUGUAGUUUUGAUGAUGAUGAAUGUAGACAGAGUAUUUUUUGGUUUUAGUUUGAUUAGGAUUUUUGGUUUUAUUUCAUUAGGAUUUUAAUCACUGAAUGUAGAUUUUAGUUUUUCUUUGAUUAGGAUUUAUGGUUGAUUAGGAUUUAAAAUGAUGUUUUGAUAUGUGCUUGAAAUUAGUAUGUGGAACAGAGGUGGGAUAUAUUUCGAUAUGUGAUUGAAAUUCCUUUUUAAUUUGUAGACAGAAUUAGGUAUUGAAAUUCCUUUUAAAGUUGUGCAUGUUUUAAUGGAAUUGACGUGAUAUUUGUGCAUGUUUUUAUGUAUGUAAUGGUUGCAAUCAGGAUGUAGUUUUUUUGUUUAGCAAAUCAAUUCCAUUAUAAUAUUAAUGUUAUGACAGCAUGUAAAAUCAAGUGUGGUACAUUGUUUUGAUGUAAAAAUGAAAAUGAAGUUGAUUUUAAUUUUCGUAUUCAUGCAAAUCGAUGUGGGACAAAAUGUAGGAUUUGCUUUGAAUAGGUAAGAGCAACAAAAUGAAGUUUUUUUGCUUUGAAUUGGAAUUUAUUUUUGCUUUGAAUAGGAUUUUUGGUUGAUUGGGAUUUAAAAUGAUGUUUGUAAAUGUUUUUUUGAUAUGUGAGGUAUGGAAAAAUGAAAUCAAGUUGUGCAUAUUUGGUUAAAUUAACGUGAUUUUUCUUUGAUGCUUCUAUAUAACUUGUAUUUACCAUUCUUAUUGUUCUGUACACUACACUAUGGUCUUCAAUAAUACGAUCCAAUUUUGGAAUUCCGAAAGUACAGCAGUUAUGCAUAGCACAUGAUCUGCCUGCCAAAAUGAUAUAUAGUUAAAUUUUGGAAUUCUGUUUCAUUUUAAUAUGAUAUAUGUACUGUUUGUAGUAUUUAUUGGUGUUUAUGUAGUGUUAAUUUAGUGACAUUUAAUUUCUAUGUUAAAUUUAUUUUAGGUUGAAGCCUUCUUCUAAUCCGGCCGGCCACUUCUCUCCGGUCAUUGUCGAAAUUAUCUUCAAGGUAUGGUUUACAUUAUGUUCAUCUUCUUCUCUUCUUUUUUAGUUGUUUUUAAUUUGGGGGUUUAUGAUUUGGGGGUUUAUGAUUUUGGGGUUUAUGAUUUGGUGGUUUUUUAUUUGGGGGUUACUUUCCAAUUUAUUGUAGUUAUUGUAGUUUUUUCCUUCUAAUUUAGGGUUUAUGAAAUUGGGGGUUUAUAAUUGGGGCUUAAAAUAAGUUAUUGGGGGUUAUGAAUUUUUGGGGGUUUACUGAAUUUGUUACUGAAAAUAAGUUACUUAAUUAUUAAACUUCAAAUUCAAUUUCAAUUUCAAUAUCAA
RNAcentral lists this long non-coding RNA (2405 nucleotides) under Zostera marina. Its description in RNAcentral is "long non-coding RNA (ZMAR_LNC001330)". Lineage: Eukaryota; Viridiplantae; Streptophyta; Magnoliopsida; Alismatales; Zosteraceae. The record is from RNAcentral.